Molecule: small nucleolar RNA, 125 nt
Organism: Pteronotus mesoamericanus
Lineage: Eukaryota; Metazoa; Chordata; Mammalia; Chiroptera; Mormoopidae
Source: RefSeq, a predicted model, not a curated record
ACAGCCUUGGAAUGUGGCAAGAUGAGUGGUUUCAAGCAGGAGCCUAAAGGAAUGUCUUCCUAUGGCCUGUUGGCCAUUUCAGAACUUAGGGAAUUUAAUGGUCAAUUCAUUAGAAAGAAACAUCU